Anser brachyrhynchus (Pink-footed goose) is the source of this 389-nucleotide long non-coding RNA. The record is from Ensembl. NCBI's taxonomy places the organism in Eukaryota, Metazoa, Chordata, Aves, Anseriformes, Anatidae.
AUGAAAUUUUCACAGGGGAGGAGGAGCAGCAACAUUUUGCCCAAGUUAAGGUUACACUGGCAAUAUACCAAGCAGCCCGAAGCACUUAAUUUUCAUGAGAGAUCUGAUUACAGCAGCCUGUAUUUGAGUACAGAAAUAUGUCCUGCAGAAUCUGCAGCCCCAGUGCUGCUUCCAAGGAGCAAGGACUGGAGCUCCAGCCUUCCAGGGAGUUUAUCACUCACCAGAUGGGAAAGAACGAAGAACAAAGAUGAUGCAACUUAUUUAAAGAAGGCUUGGGAGAGCGAGACAAAGAAUUCAGAUCUGAUAUCCAAGCCACUGCCUUAAAUUUUCUGUCAAUACCCUUUCAACUUCAUGCUAUGCAAUAAACAUUCAAGCUGGGCAUAAAUACA